Molecule: ribosomal RNA, 490 nt
Filed under: uncultured bacterium
Lineage: Bacteria
Description: partial 16S ribosomal RNA
Rfam family: Bacterial small subunit ribosomal RNA
Source: RNAcentral
AGUGAACGCUGGCGGCAGGCCUAACACAUGCCAGUCGAACGGCAGCACAAGAGAGCCUGCUCUCUGGGUGGCGAGUGGCGGACGGGUGAGGAAUGCAUCGGAAUCUGCCCAUUUGUGGGGGAUAACCUCGGGAAACCGGGACUAAUACCGCAUACGACCUACGGGUGAAAGCAGGGGAUCUUCGGACCUUGCGCAGAUGGAUGAGCCGAUGCCGGAUUAGCUAGUUGGAGGGGUAAAGGCCCACCAAGGCGACGAUCCGUAGCUGGUCUGAGAGGAUGAUCAGCCACACUGGGACUGAGACACGGCCCAGACUCCUACGGGAGGCAGCAGUGGGGAAUAUUGGACAAUGGGCGCAAGCCUGAUCCAGCCAUGCCGCGUGUGUGAAGAAGGCCUUCGGGUUGUAAAGCACUUUUGUUGGGAAAGAAAAGCAGCCGGUUAAUACCCGGUUGUCAUGACGGUACCCAAAGAAUAAGCACCGGCUAACUUCGUG